Molecule: ribosomal RNA, 119 nt
Filed under: Triticum aestivum (bread wheat)
Lineage: Eukaryota; Viridiplantae; Streptophyta; Magnoliopsida; Poales; Poaceae
Source: RNAcentral
GGAUGCGAUCAUACCAGCACUAAAGCACCGAAUCCCAUCAGAACUCUGAAGUUAAGCGUGCUUGGGCGAGAGUAGUACUAGGAUGGGUGACCUCCUGGGAAGUCCUUGUGUUGCAUUCC